UAAUCAAGUGCUGCCUCUUAUCUAGAUUAUAUUUAAGAGCAGAUAUUACUGUUACAUAGUAAGGAGACUAACAUACAGGGUUUUGAAGGUUUUCGAUCCUCUAGAGGGUUUCAGAGAUUUACAUGAGUAAAGUAUGAAUAGAAAAAAGUAAAGAAAAAACAGUAGUCUCAGCCUGCUAUGAAGUUUCUGUUAUAAUGUCCUAACUUUUUAGUUUGCAAUUUUAUAGAAUUCCUGGAGAAGACUGCUCAGUUCAUACAAACCAAACUUUUUGGGACUGGUCACUGCCCACUUGCUGGGUUUUCAAUGAGCAAGACAAGUUUUCCUCAACAGCUGCCUCCUGUUCCUCGUCAUGUGAUUGUGAAACAGCUGGCUGCACGUACGACAACAUCCAAUAACCAAACAGCAGGCUGCACAUAAGACAACAUCCAAUAAGUUGCUGGCACCUCUAGUGCUCCUGACUUGCUUUGUUCAUUGUGCUCAGGGAGCCACAAUAUGAUUUCAGUUGUGCCUCAUUCUUCAAAAUGGAAUUAUAUGAAU
This 537-nucleotide long non-coding RNA is filed under the name Anser cygnoides (Swan goose). RNAcentral's name for it is "lncRNA (ENSACDG00005002522.1)". Lineage: Eukaryota; Metazoa; Chordata; Aves; Anseriformes; Anatidae. The record is from RNAcentral.